CCCUUAGAUGUCCGGGGCCGCACGCGCGCUACACUGAAGGAAUCAGCGUGGCUUUCUCCCUGACCCGAAAGGGUUGGGAAACCCGUUGAAUCUCCUUCGUGAUAGGGAUUGGGGCUUGAAAUUGUUCCCCAUGAACGAGGAAUUCCCAGUAAGCGCGAGUCAUAAGGUCGCGUUGAUUACGUCCCUGCCCUUUGUACACACCGCCCGUCGCUACUACCGAUUGAACGGUUUAGUGAGGGCCUCGGAUUGGUCUCGGCCCGCUCUUUACCGGGCGGCGCCGUUGGUCGAGAAGACGCUCGAACUUGAUCGUUUAGAGGAAGUAAAAGUCGUAACA
RNAcentral lists this ribosomal RNA (334 nucleotides) under uncultured eukaryote. RNAcentral's name for it is "partial 18S ribosomal RNA". It matches the Rfam family "Eukaryotic small subunit ribosomal RNA", at positions 1470 to 1796 of the family's 1831-position model. The record is from RNAcentral.